UGGCGAACGGGUGAGUAACACGUGAGUAACCUGCCCACAACUUUGGGAUAACGCUAGGAAACUGGUGCUAAUACUGGAUAUGUGCUCCUGCUGCAUGGUGGGGGUUGGAAAGCUCCGGCGGUUGUGGAUGGACUCGCGGCCUAUCAGCUUGUUGGUGGGGUAGUGGCUUACCAAGGCUUUGACGGGUAGCCGGCCUGAGAGGGUGACCGGCCACAUUGGGACUGAGAUACGGCCCAG
RNAcentral lists this ribosomal RNA (237 nucleotides) under uncultured Actinomycetales bacterium. RNAcentral's name for it is "partial 16S ribosomal RNA". It matches the Rfam family "Bacterial small subunit ribosomal RNA", at positions 96 to 334 of the family's 1533-position model. Lineage: Bacteria; Bacillati; Actinomycetota; Actinomycetes; Actinomycetales. The record is from RNAcentral.